AUGCCCAGGGCAUCUACCCAGAGGCAUUCUCCCCCCAAAUCUGCAGGUUUGGAGGUGCGGGGGGGGGGCAGAAGAUCUAUUGUGAGGAAGCCAAGAAGCAGAUGUCUGCCUCCCCUGCUCCCUCCCACAGGGCAAGGAUGUGAAACUAACCCAGAGUGGACGGUGAAGUGCAACUGCCGGGUGUUCUUCCAGUUCUGGAGAAUGCACAGCUUCCUGCUCAAUGCCAGCUGGACCUUCUUCCUAGAGAGAAGCAACUGCUGUCGGACACAUUGCUGGGGAAAGCCAGACAUGAGCCUCCUUCAGCACCGGACACAGCCUAGGAUCCUGCUGGGCUCAGGACCUCCCCUCCCAUCUCUAGUCCCACGAGACAUUUUCAUGGAUAUGAAACUGGACACCGAGUUGACGCUGAAGUUCAGCUGCUGGGUCAUCUUCCAUUUCUGGAGCCUGCUCAGCUUCCUUGUAAAACCCGGCUGGGCUUUCACCCUGGACAGGAGCAACUGGUUCGGAGUCAGUGGGGGUGGGCAGCGGCUCAGCCAUGAAGAAGCCGAGAAGCGAUGUCUGCCUCCCCUCCUCCCUCCCAGAAGAUCUGGAUGUGAAACUAACCCAGAGUGGACGCUGAAGCUCAGCUGCCAAGUAAUCUCCCAUUCCCGGAGAGACUGCACAGCUUCCUGCUCAAUGCCAGCUGGGCCUUCAUCCUGGAGAGGAGCAACUGGUAACAGCACUGUCCCUCGUGCCCUCAUAGCUAGAUUGCCAAGCAGCUGUUUGGAAGCAAGUCUUCCCACUACACCAGCCCUGCACAUUGUGUGUCCUCCAGAGGCACCAUAGAUUGGAAAUGAAUCCUGGUGCCUGGCUAGCAAGACAGCAGUAGCCAGUGAGACAUGACGAGAUCUCAGAAGGAGAGUAUAUGUGUGAACUUAUCCUCAGGCUCCUCUGUACCCUAGCUUUACUGCAAACACACAGGUAAAGUAUAAAUGGUGUCCACCUCAGAAAUGAAUCGCAUUCUGAGGCUUUUUACUCAUUCUCCUUCUAGUGCUUGGCUUACAGAGUGGGUAUAGAAUGAUGGAGUUACAUACAUGUGUGUUACUUUCUGAGUGCAUCCUUUAAUUCUCCCUGCCUAGGGCAUCAUUGCUCUUCAAGGGCAGGGGAAAAACCACCUCAGAUCAUAUAUUUAUAUCUUCUCUUCUCCCUGAACACUUUGUAACUCUCAGAAUCUUCUAGAAUCCAGGCACAGACAUUCAUGGAUACUCUAUCUUUUCAGUAGGCAAGAGAUUUUAGAAAGGGAAGCAGUUCUCCUGCCCUGCACCUAUUUUCACUGCACAAAAGUCAGUCAUAUCAAGUGUACAAGUUUAGUAACUGGAGGCCACUGGUGGGCUGCAGCCCAAUUCCAAAAGAAAGACAAUUAUUAUUUUUGGAAACAGUGUCCAAACUAAAAUAAUGCAGAUACAGUAGCCUGUCAAUAGAGUCCUUAAUAUUUUUCCUAAUCCUUUUUAUCCUUGGAGUUGGUGCUUUCUCAUGUAAAGAACCUACAGAAUCAUAGACUUAAUGCUGACUUAAGUUGGCUUUCCCAAAUAUCAAAUAUCAGGCAUUAUCUGUAGUUGAGGACCUUCAUGAGUUUGAAGAUCAUGUCAUUUUACACGGAGCCUUCUCUGUAAGGAUAAGACAAAGGGAUUUGUCCUUUGCUAAAAUGUUCAGUGGUGUAGCAGUAGAAAGGGGGGUCUGCCACUGUAGCACAGUGAGCUAAGCUGCUGUCUGCAGUGCCUGCAACCCUAUAUGGGCUCUGGUUUGAGUCCCAACUGUACUGUUUCUGAUCCAGCUCCCUGCUGAAGGCCUGGGAAAGCAGUGGGAGAUGGCACAAGUUCUUGUUCCACUGCACCCCCUUGGGACAUCCAGAGGAUGCUUCUGGCUCCCGAGUGGGGCCUGGCCUAGUCCUGGGUAUUGCAGCCAUUUGGGGAGUACAUUGAAUAUCUGUCUCUCUCUCCCCCUCUCCUUCUCUCUCUCUCUCAAACUGCAUUUCAAAUAAAUUUUAAAAAGUUCUUACUAGAAGAAAGAUC
This is a long non-coding RNA of Oryctolagus cuniculus (rabbit), 2051 nucleotides long. The record is from Ensembl. NCBI's taxonomy places the organism in Eukaryota, Metazoa, Chordata, Mammalia, Lagomorpha, Leporidae.